Molecule: ribosomal RNA, 274 nt
Filed under: uncultured bacterium
Lineage: Bacteria
Description: partial 16S ribosomal RNA
Rfam family: Bacterial small subunit ribosomal RNA
Source: RNAcentral
AUACGGAGGGUGCAAGCGUUAUCCGGAAUCAUUGGGUUUAAAGGGUCCGCAGGCGGAUUAAUAAGUCAGUGGUGAAAUCCUCUCGCUUAACGAGAGAACUGCCAUUGAAACUGUUAGUCUUGAAUUCGGUCGAAGUAGGCGGAAUGUGUCAUGUAGCGGUGAAAUGCAUAGAUAUGACACAGAACACCGAUAGCGAAGGCAGCUUACUAGACCUGGAUUGACGCUCAUGGACGAAAGCGUGGGGAGCGAACAGGAUUAGAAACCCUAGUAGUCC